Pantherophis guttatus is the source of this 529-nucleotide long non-coding RNA. RefSeq lists it as uncharacterized. Lineage: Eukaryota; Metazoa; Chordata; Lepidosauria; Squamata; Colubridae. The record is from RefSeq and is a predicted model, not a curated record.
ACUGGGAUUUAUUUGUCUGUUUAAUCUUAUUGUAUAAGCCAAGGGAGCAAAGACCAAAUAUAGUCCAUUUUGCAUUUAUAUUUAUAUUGCCACAUUUCAGCAGUUUUUAUUCUGACUUUUAUUUUAUUUUCUACUAUUGCUUACAUUCAGGAAUUUACCAUAGCAAAUACAGACAGAUGCAGAAAGGCAUUGUUCCCAUCCGCCAAUGGCCAGCAGAAGGCAGUGUGUGCUAAUUUUCCAUGAUGUAAAUUAGAAUCUCUUGCUUGCUGCCUCCAAUCAAGUUGAAGGUCCUGCUCUUUGGAAUUCCAGACAAUAUGUCCAACUUCAGAAUGUUGUCUGGAUGCAGCUAGGAACCAACUGUGUUGUCCUUCGUUUCAGUCAUUGAAUGUGCCAUUAAUUUGUGCCAUUCACAAGAUCUAUUGGAUUUAUGCUUCAUGAAACUACAAAGCCGAGGCAAACAAUCUGCUCCCAUUAUUAAACUAUAGCAGGCUGACUAUUAUUUACAAUACCAGCUAUGUCCCAUUUCGCA